RNAcentral lists this ribosomal RNA (483 nucleotides) under uncultured bacterium. RNAcentral's name for it is "partial 16S ribosomal RNA". It matches the Rfam family "Bacterial small subunit ribosomal RNA", at positions 30 to 507 of the family's 1533-position model. The record is from RNAcentral.
UUGAACGCUGGCGGCAGGCCUAACACAUGCACGUCGAACGGAUGAAGGGAGCUUGCUCCUGGAUUCAGCGGCGGACGGGUGAGUAAUGCCUAGGAAUCUGCCUGGUAGUGGGGGAUAACGUCCGGAAACGGGCGCUAAUACCGCAUACGUCCUGAGGGAGAAAGUGGGGGAUCUUCGGACCUCACGCUAUCAGAUGAGCCUAGGUCGGAUUAGCUAGUUGGUGGGGUAAAGGCCUACCAAGGCGACGAUCCGUAACUGGUCUGAGAGGAUGAUCAGUCACACUGGAACUGAGACACGGUCCAGACUCCUACGGGAGGCAGCAGUGGGGAAUAUUGGACAAUGGGCGAAAGCCUGAUCCAGCCAUGCCGCGUGUGUGAAGAAGGUCUUCGGAUUGUAAAGCACUUUAAGUUGGGAGGAAGGGCAGUAAGUUAAUACCUUGCUGCUUUGACGUUACCAACAGAAUAAGCACCGGCUAACUUCGUG